ACCAUCCAAACCCGACUGUGGAUGCGGCCUCCAGCUUGCUGGGCGGUUUACGCGCCACAUGUUCGAAUCCUUUUUUUACGAGCACCAUUUGUUCUCCUUCGGUGGGGUAACCUGCCGUUGGAACCAUCAAAACUCUUUUGCAUCUAGCAUUACCUGUUCUGAUAAAAACAAUCGUUA
This 177-nucleotide unclassified non-coding RNA is filed under the name uncultured fungus. RNAcentral describes it as "sequence contains ITS1, 5.8S rRNA gene". Lineage: Eukaryota; Fungi. The record is from RNAcentral.